This 443-nucleotide ribosomal RNA is filed under the name uncultured bacterium. RNAcentral describes it as "partial 16S ribosomal RNA". It matches the Rfam family "Bacterial small subunit ribosomal RNA", at positions 338 to 795 of the family's 1533-position model. The record is from RNAcentral.
CCUACGGGGUGCAGCAGUAGGGAAUUUUCGGCAAUGGGGGGAACCCUGACCGAGCAACGCCGCGUGAACGAAGAAGGCUUUCGGGUUGUAAACUUCUUUUCUCAGGGACGAAGAAAGUGACGGUACCUGAGGAAUAAGCCACGGCUAACUACGUGCCAGCAGCCGCGGUAAUACGUAGGUGGCAAGCGUUAUCCGGAUUUACUGGGUGUAAAGGGCGUGUAGGCGGGGAAGCAAGUCAGAUGUGAAAACCACGGGCUCAACCUGUGGCCUGCAUUUGAAACUGUUUUUCUUGAGUACUGGAGAGGCAGACGGAAUUCCUAGUGUAGCGGUGAAAUGCGUAGAUAUUAGGAGGAACACCAGUGGCGAAGGCGGUCUGCUGGACAGCAACUGACGCUGAGGCGCGAAAGCGUGGGGAGCAAACAGGAUUAGAUACCCGUGUAGUC